GACGAACGCUGGCGGCGUGCCUAAUACAUGCAAGCCGAGCGAGCUUGCCUAGAUGAAUUUGGUGCUUGCACCAAAUGAAACUAGAUACAAGCGAGCGGCGGACGGGUGAGUAACACGUGGGUAACCUGCCCAAGAGACUGGGAUAACACCUGGAAACAGAUGCUAAUACCGGAUAACAACACUAGACGCAUGUCUAGAGUUUAAAAGAUGGUUCUGCUAUCACUCUUGGAUGGACCUGCGGUGCAUUAGCUAGUUGGUAAGGUAACGGCUUACCAAGGCAAUGAUGCAUAGCCGAGUUGAGAGACUGAUCGGCCACAUUGGGACUGAGACACGGCCCAAACUCCUACGGGAGGCAGCAGUAGGGAAUCUUCCACAAUGGACGCAAGUCUGAUGGAGCAACGCCGCGUGAGUGAAGAAGGGUUUCGGCUCGUAAAGCUCUGUUGGUAGUGAAGAAAGAUAGAGGUAGUAACUGGCCUUUAUUUGACGGUAAUUACUUAGAAAGUCACGGCUAACUACGUGCCAGCAGCCGCGGUAAUACGUAGGUGGCAAGCGUUGUCCGGAUUUAUUGGGCGUAAAGCGAGUGCAGGCGGUUCAAUAAGUCUGAUGUGAAAGCCUUCGGCUCAACCGGAGAAUUGCAUCAGAAACUGUUGAACUUGAGUGCAGAAGAGGAGAGUGGAACUCCAUGUGUAGCGGUGGAAUGCGUAGAUAUAUGGAAGAACACCAGUGGCGAAGGCGGCUCUCUGGUCUGCAACUGACGCUGAGGCUCGAAAGCGUGGGUAGCGAACAGG
RNAcentral lists this ribosomal RNA (788 nucleotides) under uncultured Lactobacillus sp. RNAcentral's name for it is "bacterial SSU rRNA". It matches the Rfam family "Bacterial small subunit ribosomal RNA", at positions 28 to 776 of the family's 1533-position model. The record is from RNAcentral. Lineage: Bacteria; Bacillati; Bacillota; Bacilli; Lactobacillales; Lactobacillaceae.